UGGUUGUCUUGUUUCUUCUCGGCAGAAGUUCAUGAACAAAUAUGUUAAAAAUUGCCUGGCAUGAAAAAAAAUCAAAAUUAAAAAAAUUAAAUUAUGGUUACACUUAUGCAUCUCUCAAAAGAAAUUUUUCCAACUCCAUUCUGGCUGGUUAGACAUAUGCAACUAAAGGAACAUCAUGUAAAGCUCUAUUUUCACGGGAACACAGAAGGUUGUGCAGACGUCGGUAGCUACGUGGACAGGAAGUUGUAGACGGUCACGCCCUCGUCUCAGUUCUUCCGGGUGUAACAGAGUUGAACACCUACACUGACACAUGCCCUACGCUCCAGUGAGGACCGCUCAUUCUCCGCUUGGUGUCGCUCGAAGCAUCUUCUGUUUACAGGUACUUCUCCCAUUGCUCUAUGGUGAACAGUGCUGGCUCUGUGUAAUGUCUGUUUUCCAGAGCUAAUUUGAAGGCCUGACUACUUAAUACCUAUAAAACUUGUUGAGAUCCUCUUCUAAGUCCCAGGGUCAAGGAAGCACCC
Molecule: long non-coding RNA, 521 nt
Filed under: Fukomys damarensis (Damara mole-rat)
Lineage: Eukaryota; Metazoa; Chordata; Mammalia; Rodentia; Bathyergidae
Description: lncRNA (ENSFDAG00000024801.1)
Source: RNAcentral